UUGGAAAAAUACGUUCUUAAU
RNAcentral lists this small RNA (21 nucleotides) under Arabidopsis thaliana (thale cress). Its description in RNAcentral is "ATSL241500". Lineage: Eukaryota; Viridiplantae; Streptophyta; Magnoliopsida; Brassicales; Brassicaceae. The record is from RNAcentral.